CUUGGUUCAUCAUUGAAUUGAUUACUAUUUUUUCUAGGGCUGCCAUUGAAAAGCAGAUACAACUUUUAUCCCGUGAGAUCUGUUUCUCUAAAGACACUAUCUCACUAAGCUACACUGCUCUUAUGUACAUUAUGUGAGAAAAUAUGUGCAAAGAACUUAGCAAAGAUAUUUUGAGAAGCUUAACCCACACUUUUCAGGCUUUUCUUCUGAAAAGGGCUCAUCUCCUCACGUUUGGUGUUUUCCAUUCAGUUUCUGGUCUCUCUGCUCGCAUUAAAAAUAUAGGGGACCAGGACUGUUCUCCUUAGUUGCCCCCUACCCCUAAACUAAGAAACUGCAAUGGUCAUAAACCUUGUAGGUCAGGAUAUAAAUAAAAAAAAAUAUGAGCCCACCAGAAGCGGGAGAAGAAAGUCUGGAGGACUGUAUGUCUAAUUCCAUCUCCUGUGUCUGCCUGCUCUGCAAAUCCUCCUUUUUCCCUUCCAGUACAUCUCAAAAUUGAAAAUCAGACUAUGGAUGCUUGAACUAGUGGCUAGAAAGAGUGAAUAUGUUAAUAUUUUAUGGGGAAUUUUUAAAUAAAGUGAACAGUAUGCAUUCCUACCGGUAUUCUUACCAGAAGCCCACUGCAGAUACUACUAUCAGAAAUAGAAAAUAAGGAUCUUUUAUUGUUUGAUAUUGAAUAGCCAACUGAUAAUUUAUUGGCAUUUUACUUAUUCUGUGGAGACACCUACUCAUGCAAAUCGUGGGUUAAUAAUUUGCAUCAGUUUUCUGUGGUGGUUCAUUCUGUCUCUGUGGGGAUGGGAACAAUGUGUUGAUCCCUGCAAGUAAGAAGUGGUUUUGUGUAACAGACAAGGGGAGCCAGAUCUUCUGGGUCCCAACAUCACUCUGCCGACUGGCCGUGUACCAGAUGUGUGAUUUGAGCAAGUGACUGUACCGCCCCGUGCUUUAUUUGCCCCAUGAGUCAAAUACGUUUCAAGAUAACCCAAAGACCUUAUAGGUAGUAUGGUUUAGAGGAGCUAAUAUAUGCAAAGCACUGAGAACACUGAUAGAGAACUCACACUCACACAUGCGCGUGCACGUACAAACACACACACACGACAUUAGCUCUUCUGGUCUUGGCUGGUCCUCUCUCUUCUUUUACAGGCAGAAUCAGAGUUGCCCAAUAUGGCGGGCCCAUCUAACCCAGAGUUUUAUCCUGAUGACAUCGCGUUGGUAGAAUCAUUUUCCCCACACCUCCCAACAAAAGGGACAAUUUACCCCAGAUAUCCUACUGUUCACUUAGAGAGUUGCAGUCCUUAAACUUUUCGGUGGGGUCUCACAGUUCAGUUUAAAAACUAUAGACUUCUUGUCUUUGGCUUGUCACUCACUUUAAGUCCUCUAAGAUUGCAUUUCUGUGGCUGUACAAUGGACCAAUCAUAGUUAUACCGCAGAGCUGCUGUCUUGAGUAAAUGGGAUCAUAAUGGAACAUGGUGAUGCGCUCUCUCAGCCUGAAGCAUGCCCACUCAGAGAACUCUCCGUGGCACAGCCGUAGCGCCCUCAGUUCCCAGACAAGAUUUUAAUUCGUGGGGAUAUAGGGUCAAAUAAAGCUUUGGAAGCACACCUCCUGGGGUCAGCUGGAAAGUAAUGUGCAAGCAUGAUGCAGGAUGAGCUCCUGGAAAGCUCAGGAAAUACUGCAGAGGAGUUGAUCUCAAUACUUUUCCUUACUUCAGUGGAAACAGAUACCUGGGACUGCUCCACUUUAGAUAACGCAAGUCCAACUGUGAAUAAAAGGAGAGAAUUUCCAGUGAGCUUUGGAUAAUAUAAGAAACAUCAAAGAAUUUCUCUGUUCACUCGUGUAAAAGAAAUGGUCAGGGAGUGACUCACGAGCCCACAAGGAGAAGAAGGUGAAUGCUUCCAGCAGUGACAUCUUGGCUGCCAGGCUAUGUGCUCGAGGAAAAGAUUCCACAUAUAAAUGAUCACGCAGAGUAUUUGUCUUUGUCUGUCUGACUUAUUUCACUGGAAGUUACUUUAAAAAAAAAAUCCCUCACCAAAUCUGAGAAAUAGAGUAACAAAUUUAUAUUCCGAGAGUGAAAAGCAGAUAAAUAUUUGAAGCCGGCCGUCCUGUCUGCCCAGGCUGAGUGUCCAAAAAGGAUGAGGAGGAGACAGGGAAGAGGAACAGGAGGAGGAGCAAGGAGCCUCCCAGGGUGUUAGCAGAGGAAACACGUUCCUCUGCUGGGUCAAUUGUAUAAAAAGGAAUGGCCACACCCACCUUCAUCUUUUGAUUCCUGGACAUAAACCUUCUGACUGUGAGUUGGAUGUCACCUGUAUCUGGUCACUGGAGGAGAAUGCAGCCAAUCCAAGGCCACCUGUCAGGGAGGGAACUUGCCCUGACCUCAGUCUCCUCCCGCCUCCCAGUCCCCUGCUGAUGCUUCCACUGACUGCUCCCAGACAGCAACCAGGGAUGAGACCACUGGUCAUUAAUCAUGCAUGUCUGACUCACUCGUAAGAUGUGAGAAAUCCGUGCCCCCACAGAAGGGGACUCACAGAGUCUAAGCUGAAGGUCUGUCCCUCCCCGCCGGCUCUCCCAGUGAAGACCACCUAAGGCUGACUCUCUAGCAGCUUUUUCCAUGAACGGUGGUGGAUCAUGUUCUCAGGCACUGAGCGCCAAGCCACCCUGCAGAUGGAGAGCCUCCUGUGCAAUGAAGUGUGCAGUUCUGCUUGAGACGACCUCCUGACUGCAUCUGCACCUGGACAAAACAGAAGUAAAGAAAGCAAAACCGCCAUGCCCCACGCUAAUGAGAAGACUGCAUAUUUUUGGCACUGUCUGUACUACUUGGUGUCUGUACCACUUAAGAAAAAAGAGUCAUUCCAGCCCAAUGAGCCACCCUGGAAACCCUGAGCAUUAACACUGUCUCUCACUUGGCAGACAGGAUCAGCGGGAAUCAGGAGAGAAAACAAGAUUUCGUUUUGUAAAAGAAGCAAAAGUUGUUAGAGGAGAGAGGAGAAAAAGUAGUCAAGACAGAGCCCAUUACAGGCAUUCUUUUUUGGGGGAGAGGGGUAAUUAUGUCUAUUUAUUUAUUUAUUUGGAGGUACUGGGGAUUGAACCUGGGACCUCCUGCAUGCUAGGCAGGCAUUCUACCACUGAGCUGUACCCUCCUUCACUAUAAGCACUUCUAAUCAUCAAGUUUCACUUGCUGUCUCUAAGCUCUCAAUAAUAUGCCAAGGUAUUUUUAAUAUUGUGAAAUGUGUGAAUUCUUUUUAAAAAU
This is a long non-coding RNA of Camelus dromedarius (Arabian camel), 3239 nucleotides long. RefSeq lists it as uncharacterized. The record is from RefSeq and is a predicted model, not a curated record. Lineage: Eukaryota; Metazoa; Chordata; Mammalia; Artiodactyla; Camelidae. The transcript is spliced from 3 exons.